This 465-nucleotide ribosomal RNA is filed under the name Vreelandella stevensii. RNAcentral's name for it is "partial 16S ribosomal RNA". It matches the Rfam family "Bacterial small subunit ribosomal RNA", at positions 338 to 795 of the family's 1533-position model. The record is from RNAcentral. Lineage: Bacteria; Pseudomonadati; Pseudomonadota; Gammaproteobacteria; Oceanospirillales; Halomonadaceae.
CCUACGGGGGGCUGCAGUGGGGAAUAUUGGACAAUGGGGGGAACCCUGAUCCAGCCAUGCCGCGUGUGUGAAGAAGGCCCUCGGGUUGUAAAGCACUUUCAGUGAGGAAGAACGCCUGGUGGUUAAUACCCAUCAGGAAAGACAUCACUCACAGAAGAAGCACCGGCUAACUCCGUGCCAGCAGCCGCGGUAAUACGGAGGGUGCGAGCGUUAAUCGGAAUUACUGGGCGUAAAGCGCGCGUAGGUGGCUUGAUAAGUCGGUUGUGAAAGCCCCGGGCUCAACCUGGGAACGGCAUCCGGAACUGUCAAGCUAGAGUGCAGGAGAGGAAGGUAGAAUUCCCGGUGUAGCGGUGAAAUGCGUAGAGAUCGGGAGGAAUACCAGUGGCGAAGGCGGCCUUCUGGACUGACACUGACACUGAGGUGCGAAAGCGUGGGUAGCAAACAGGAUUAGAUACCCUAGUAGUC